RNAcentral lists this ribosomal RNA (519 nucleotides) under uncultured bacterium. RNAcentral's name for it is "partial 16S ribosomal RNA". It matches the Rfam family "Bacterial small subunit ribosomal RNA", at positions 28 to 507 of the family's 1533-position model. The record is from RNAcentral.
GACGAACGCUGGCGGCGUGCCUAAUACAUGCAAGUCGAGCGAGUCUGCCUUGAAGAUCGGAGUGCUUGCACUCUGUGAAACAAGGUACAGGCUAGCGGCGGACGGGUGAGUAACACGUGGGUAACCUGCCCAAGAGAUCGGGAUAACACCUGGAAACAGAUGCUAAUACCGGAUAACAACAGAUGAUGCCUAUCAACUGUUUAAAAGAUGGUUCUGCUAUCACUCUUGGAUGGACCUGCGGUGCAUUAGCUAGUUGGUAGGGUAACGGCCUACCAAGGCGAUGAUGCAUAGCCGAGUUGAGAGACUGAUCGGCCACAUUGGGACUGAGACACGGCCCAAACUCCUACGGGAGGCAGCAGUAGGGAAUCUUCCACAAUGGACGCAAGUCUGAUGGAGCAACGCCGCGUGAGUGAAGAAGGGUUUCGGCUCGUAAAGCUCUGUUGUUGGUGAAGAAGGACAGGGGUAGUAACUGACCUUUGUUUGACGGUAAUCAAUUAGAAAGUCACGGCUAACUACGUG